This 497-nucleotide ribosomal RNA is filed under the name uncultured bacterium. Its description in RNAcentral is "partial 16S ribosomal RNA". It matches the Rfam family "Bacterial small subunit ribosomal RNA", at positions 28 to 507 of the family's 1533-position model. The record is from RNAcentral.
GACGAACGCUGGCGGCGUGCCUAAUACAUGCAAGUUGAGCGAUGAAGAUCUGUGCUUGCGCCAAUUUGGAGAGCAGCGAACGGGUGAGUAACGCGCGGGAAAUCUGCCUUUGAUCGGGGUACAACCUGUGGAAACGAAUGAUAAUACCGCAUAAUAACUUUAAACAUAAGUUUUAAGUUUGAAAGAUGCAAGUGCGUCACUCAAAGAUGAUCCCGCGUUGUAUUAGCUAGUUGGUGAGGUAAAGGCUCACCAAGGCGAUGAUACAUAGCCGAACUGAGCGGGUGAUCGGCCACCCUGGGAGGGAGACAGGCCACAAACGGCUACGGGAAGCAGCAGGAGUGAAUCUUGGGCAAGGGACGAGAGUCAGUCCGAGAUAGGCGGAGUGAGGGAAGAGGGUUGUCGGGUCGUAAAACUCGGUCGGCAGGGAAGAACGCUGGUGCGCGUGGAAAGAUCAGCAAGUGACGGUAACUACUCAGAAAGGGACGGCUAACUACGUG